AUUGAACGCUGGCGGCAUGCCUUACACAUGCAAGUCGAACGGUAACAGGUCUUCGGAUGCUGACGAGUGGCGAACGGGUGAGUAAUACAUCGGAACGUGCCUAGUAGUGGGGGAUAACUACUCGAAAGAGUGGCUAAUACCGCAUGAGAUCUACGGAUGAAAGCAGGGGAUCGCAAGACCUUGUGCUACUAGAGCGGCCGAUGGCAGAUUAGGUAGUUGGUGGGAUAAAAGCUUACCAAGCCGACGAUCUGUAGCUGGUCUGAGAGGACGAUAAGCCACACUGGGACUGAGACACGGCCCAGACUCCUACGGGAGGCAGCAGUGGGGAAUUUCGGACAAUGGGCGCAAGCCUGAUCCAGCAAUGCCGCGUGCAGGAUGAAGGCCUUCGGGUUGUAAACUGCUUUUGUACGGAACGAAAAGCCCCGGGUUAAUACCCUGGGGUCAUGACGGUACCGUAAGAAUAAGCACCGGCUAACUACGUGCCAGCAGCCGCCGUAA
Molecule: ribosomal RNA, 498 nt
Filed under: uncultured bacterium
Lineage: Bacteria
Description: partial 16S ribosomal RNA
Rfam family: Bacterial small subunit ribosomal RNA
Source: RNAcentral